RNAcentral lists this ribosomal RNA (517 nucleotides) under uncultured bacterium. RNAcentral's name for it is "bacterial SSU rRNA". It matches the Rfam family "Bacterial small subunit ribosomal RNA", at positions 8 to 518 of the family's 1533-position model. The record is from RNAcentral.
AGAAUUUGAUCUUGGUCAGGAUGAACGCUAGCUACAGGCUUAACACAUGCAAGUCGAGGGGCAGCAUUGGAGUAGCAAUACUCAGAUGGCGACCGGCGCACGGGUGAGUAACACGUAUCCAACCUGCCGCUUACUCGGGGAUAGCCUUUCGAAAGAAAGAUUAAUACCCGAUGGUAUAAAGAGUUCGCAUGUUCUCUUUAUUAAAGAAUUUCGGUAAGCGAUGGGGAUGCGUUCCAUUAGAUAGUUGGCGGGGUAACGGCCCACCAAGUCUACGAUGGAUAGGGGUUCUGAGAGGAAGGUCCCCCCACAUUGGAACUGAGACACGGUCCAAACUCCUACGGGAGGCAGCAGUGAGGAAUAUUGGUCAAUGGACGAGAGUCUGAACCAGCCAAGUAGCGUGAAGGAUGACUGCCCUAUGGGUUGUAAACUUCUUUUAUAAGGGAAUAAAGUGAGGGACGUGUCCCUUUUUGUAUGUACCUUAUGAAUAAGGAUCGGCUAACUCCGUGCCAGCAGCAGC